Molecule: ribosomal RNA, 396 nt
Filed under: uncultured bacterium
Lineage: Bacteria
Description: partial 16S ribosomal RNA
Rfam family: Bacterial small subunit ribosomal RNA
Source: RNAcentral
AAUCUUGCGCAAUGGGCGCAAGCCUGCCGCCGCCAUGCCGCGUGAAUGACGACGGUCUUAGGAUUGUAAAAUUCUUUCACCUGGGAUGAUAAUGACGGUACCCGGCCAAGAAGCCCCGGCUAACUUCGUCCCAGCAGCCGCGGUAAUACGAAGGGGGCUAGCGUUGCUCGGAAUUCCUGGGCGUAAAGGGCGCGUAGGCGGACCUUUAAGUCAGGGGUGAAAUCCCAGAGCUGAACUCUGGAACUGCCUUUGAUACUGGGUGUCUUGAGUGUGAGAGAGGUAUGUGGAACUCCGAGUGUAGAGGUGAAAUUCGUAGAUAUUCGGAAGAACACCAGUGGCGAAGGCGACAUACUGGCUCAUUACUGACGCUGAGGCGCGAAAGCGUGGGGAGCAAAC